AUGCCUUAAACUUAUGAGUAAGGAAAGUAAUAAUUUGGGGUGGUGCCCGGAUCCUCACUGCUAACGUGAGACGGAUUUCUGAGCGGAACCACUAUCUGCCUGCCCCCCUUUCACACUGGAAGAGCAGACUGGGAUGAAGGUCAUGAAUGGGGUUGAGAAGGGGGCAGGGGUGGGUGG
Molecule: small nuclear RNA, 177 nt
Filed under: Zalophus californianus (California sea lion)
Lineage: Eukaryota; Metazoa; Chordata; Mammalia; Carnivora; Otariidae
Description: U12 minor spliceosomal RNA (ENSZCAG00015008567.1)
Rfam family: U12 minor spliceosomal RNA
About the family: Although the U12 sequence is very divergent from that of U2, the two are functionally analogous.
Source: RNAcentral